Molecule: long non-coding RNA, 1578 nt
Organism: Cyanistes caeruleus (blue tit)
Lineage: Eukaryota; Metazoa; Chordata; Aves; Passeriformes; Paridae
Source: Ensembl
GGCUGGACCUGUCCUGACCAGUGGCUCAUUCCCAGAUCUGCUGUCCCAGCACUACCUGCAAGAAAUCUCAGCUUCCACCAUAAUUUGCCAGUCCCUGAAAAUCCUGCAUUGGUUUUGCAUGUGUUCCUGAGGGCUGAUUUGAAUGUUUUUAAGCUUUUUGGCCCCUGGUUUUGUUUGCCACCCACUCCCCUGACCUGCUUUGCACUGUGACUGACUUCUGGCUGCAGCCUGCAGUUCCCCAACAUCAGUCUCCAUUAGGUGACACCUCUUUGCCAACAUUUACAUGCACUAUGUACAAUCAGUUAAUUGCUGUGCAAUUUCUCACCCAGGUGAUUUAUUACAAGCUCAACCAGUCACAGGCUAUAAUAAUUAAUCUGCAAAUUGAGCUUGCCUUUAAAUUAAGCCAUAGAUUAUAGUAGCAUGAUGGGUAAAUGCCAGCUCUUUGAAUUUAGAAGGCAGUGUCACUUCUCCCACCGAAACAAACCAUGGUGGCUUUAAUGUGGCUUUCAUGUGUCCCAUCAUCCCCAAGUACUGGGAAGCCAAAGCAAGGAUUAAUCUUGGAUGACUGAGAGCAAAGGGGUUGCAUCUCUCUGAUCCAGCUGGGAGAGUCAAUAGGUCUCAAAUGAGCAAUGCUUGGUACAAAUUCCUCAUAAAUACCAAAUGCCUUUUUGGUUUUCUGCAUCUUUUAAGACUUGGGAAGGGAACUACUCUCACGUGGGACGAUGACCCUUUUCCUGACUGUGUGGGAGCCCUGACAGUUCUGGAGGGACCAGGAUCCAAACCCAAGGAGCUGCUUCCCUCCUAGAGGCAUGGGAGAGGCUUAUUGGAUCCCUGUGAGGAGAAGAUGGCAGUGGCAUCUCUCUGUCUGCUGCCUCAUUCCCUCUUAUCCCUUCUCUUAGACUUGUCCUUAUGGAAAUCACAAGCUCUGCCUGUGACUUUGCUGGAAGAGCAGAUUUAAUUCCAAAUAAGAGACACUGGAGCUCAGCCUGCCCAGCCUCCCAUCACAGCUGGGCUGGCUCCCAGUGUGUGUCCAUGGCUGAACAGGGUUUUCCUGAGCCAGGUGAGCUGCUGUGACCUGAGUAAGGAUGACUGUGAGCCUGAAGCUCCUGCUCUGUGGUGAGGAUAUGGCUCCCUGGGGACAGGGAACUGAGUCAGGCUCCUGGCAUGGCGGGACAAGGUUUGGGGAACUUGCUUUGUUGCCUGUGUGUGAGUGGAGGCUGAUUUUUCUUUCCUUGGAGAAAGUGGAAUGAUUCUGUUGUGGAAGUGGAAUGGAAUAAGUCCUCCCAGGUUGGAUGUGAACACCUUAUUCAGCUCCUGCAGACCAUUAAGUAUCCUUAAAAUGUUUCCCAAUUUCCAGAGAUAUUGAGGGGCUCUGGAAGUGGUUGCUGCAUUCUGAAGUACCUCAGUUUAAAAUGAGCAGAUCCUUGAAUAGCUUCUCCCUGUCUCAUACACGGAAUUUCUUUUCCAUCUUGAAUAGGCUACAUUUCCUGAAAGAAAAGAUUGUGAGAGUAAUGAACUCUGAAAACUGCUUAUCUGCCUUUUGAAAUAAAAAUGCUUUUGGCCAAAUGAUAUCUUGCA